UGGGGAAUAUUGCACAAUGGAGGGAACUCUGAUGCAGCGACGCCGCGUGAACGAAGAAGGCUUUCGAGUCGUAAAGUUCUUUUAUAUGGGAAGAUAAUGACGGUACCAUAAGAAAAAGCCCCGGCUAACUACGUGCCAGCAGCCGCGGUAAUACGUAGGGGGCUAGCGUUGUCCGGAAUCACUGGGCGUAAAGGGUUCGCAGGCGGAAAUGCAAGUCAGAUGUAAAAGGCAGUAGCUUAACUACUGUAAGCAUUUGAAACUGCAUAUCUUGAGAAGAGUAGAGGUAAGUGGAAUUUUUAGUGUAGCGGUGAAAUGCGUAGAUAUUAAAAAGAAUACCGGUGGCGAAGGCGGCUUACUGGGCUCAAUCUAACGCUGAGAAACGAAAGCGUGGGUAGCAAACAGG
This 403-nucleotide ribosomal RNA is filed under the name bacterium. RNAcentral describes it as "partial 16S ribosomal RNA". It matches the Rfam family "Bacterial small subunit ribosomal RNA", at positions 355 to 776 of the family's 1533-position model. The record is from RNAcentral.